This is a non-coding RNA of Urocitellus parryii (Arctic ground squirrel), 223 nucleotides long. NCBI's taxonomy places the organism in Eukaryota, Metazoa, Chordata, Mammalia, Rodentia, Sciuridae. The record is from RefSeq and is a predicted model, not a curated record.
GCUUGACACACAGUACGUGCUCAAUAAAUAGCAGCUGCUGUUAUGAUCACUGGAGUAAAGAUAUUUUGGGGAGACAGUGACUGAAUGCGUCAAAGCCCCAAGGGAAGAGGGCCGUCCUGGAGCUGCUCUGCAGAAGUCCCUGGGGUGAUUGUUUUUGGAGCCCACUGAAGAACACCACCUGACCAGGGUCUCCCUAAAUUGCCGAGGGACUCACUAAAUUGCC